UAGUGAUCCGGUGGUUCUGAAUGGAAGGGCCAUCGCUCAACGGAUAAAAGGUACUCCGGGGAUAACAGGCUGAUACCGCCCAAGAGUUCAUAUCGACGGCGGUGUUUGGCACCUCGAUGUCGGCUCAUCACAUCCUGGGGCUGAAGUAGGUCCCAAGGGUAUGGCUGUUCGCCAUUUAAAGUGGUACGCGAGCUGGGUUUAGAACGUCGUGAGACAGUUCGGUCCCUAUCUGCCGUGGGCGCUGGAGAACUGAGGGGGGCUGCUCCUAGUACGAGAGGACCGGAGUGGACGCAUCACUGGUGUUCGGGUUGUCAUGCCAAUGGCACUGCCCGGUAGCUAAAUGCGGAAGAGAUAAGUGCUGAAAGCAUCUAAGCACGAAACUUGCCCCGAGAUGAGUUCUCCCUGAGACUUAGAGUCUCCUGAAGGAACGUUGAAGACGACGACGUUGAUAGGCCGGGUGUGUAAGCGCAGCGAUGCGUUGAGCUAACCGGUACUAAUGAACCGUGAGGCUUAACCUUACAACGCCAAAG
Molecule: ribosomal RNA, 530 nt
Filed under: Salmonella enterica subsp. enterica serovar Senftenberg
Lineage: Bacteria; Pseudomonadati; Pseudomonadota; Gammaproteobacteria; Enterobacterales; Enterobacteriaceae
Description: partial 23S ribosomal RNA
Rfam family: Bacterial large subunit ribosomal RNA
Source: RNAcentral